Equus caballus (horse) is the source of this 1835-nucleotide long non-coding RNA. The record is from Ensembl. Lineage: Eukaryota; Metazoa; Chordata; Mammalia; Perissodactyla; Equidae.
AAGGCAGUGGCCCUGGUUACCUGCUAAUUAUAGAUGGAUAUAUACACUGCUUAGCUUGACAUUCAAGGCUCCUUGAGGUCUUAACCCAACUUACUGUUAUAACCUUAUUCCUCUUCCUCUUCAGCUCACCAACUUCGGCUCAGCGCAACCCAGCCAAACAUUUGCCAUGCCCUGCGCUUGUCAAGGAACCAGAAAGGCAUUGGAGAUACCAAGGUGGAGAAGACCCAGACCAUUCCUUUGAGAGGAACAAGAUUAAGUUGUUAUCAAGAAGGAGCAACCUUAACCAAACAGGAAGGUUCAAUUCAGUAGGUUUUCAACAGGGUCAAGUUUCAAAGGCAGGCUGCUUUUUAUAGGGAGAUGAACUUGACUUUUGUUUCUUUCCAUUUCGGAGCUUGCUCCAUGAUGAUAUCUCAACGGGACACGAUGCAUUUUAACCCCUUGGGGAAUGACAAACAAUGACACGCAGCCAUCAGUGCAGAGUAUACAGAGUGUCUGAUGGGAUGAAGUGGACCCUGAGCACCCCAUGCCUCCAGGAAGAUGGGUUGAGAUCCCCAGGGCUUCGACACUAUCAGUAACACCUCCCUCGGCAUGUAAAACACUUUAAAAUUCAUAACGUUUUCAAACACAUCAUCUUGUUUGAGUCCCACAACCCUGGUGUGAGAUUGGGAUUUUCAUUUUCAUUUUACAGGGGAGGAGACCAAAGCUUUGAGGGGCUAACUGACUUUCCCAAGGCUACGUGGCUAGUAAGGGCCUGAGAUGGGAUUCAGCCUCCGCUCCCCAGACCUCAGUCCAGAGCUCAUGCUCCAAUGUCACAGCUGCCAGAGUGACUUGAAACAAAACCAGGCAGGGCUUGUUCAAAGACAUAAGCCAGCAGCUCACCGUGGGGCCUGAUGGGGCAUGUUGCAUGGAAACUGGAAAUUGGCGUUGAGACCCAGGCUUACUGUGGCACUACAGGGUUACUGCCACUCCAGUGGAUGACACCUGAAAUGGAUGCAAACAAAGGGCUUCUUCUUGCAGUAUGGAAUGUCACCUUACCAAGGCCCAGGAGCUGUUGUCAUGUGCUGAGCAUAAGCCUGCCAGAGCAACGGAUAGGUGGAAAGGAGAGCUCUGAGCUGAGAAUGAGACUGGAGGCAGGCGCAAGCCGUUCUGAGACCCUGUCCAGCCUGACCAUCUGAUUCGGGACGCUCCUAGCAGGUGCUCCAGGUCUUCUCUGGCUCCUCUUCCCCUUGCUGGCCAGGUUCCAGCUCCAUUCGUGCCCUUUAAGCUUCUCAGACAUGCGCAGCUCUUUCCUACUUCAGGGUCUCCAGGCGUGUUGCUCCCUUUACCUGGAGCACUCUUCCUCUGUUCUUUGCAAGUCAGAUUUCUCCACAAGAAUGUUCUCAUCUCAGAAAGUCCUUCCUUGGCCACUGAAAUGGGUUGACUAGUGACUCCCAAAAGAUAUGUUCACGCCCUGACACCUGGAAACUGUGAAGCUGACCUUAUUUGGAAAAAGGGUCUUUGCAGAUGUCAUUAAGUUCAGGAUCUUGAGAUGAGAUCAUUCUGGACAAGGGUGGGGUUUAAAUCCAAUGACAGGUGUCCUUAUAAGAAGAGAGAACAUGGAGUCGCACAGGGAGAAGGCAAUGUGAAGAUGGAGGCAGAGACCAGAGUGAGCAGCCCAAGCCAAGGAAUACUGGCAGCCACCAGCAGCUGGAUGAGGCAAGGCAGGAUUCUCCCCUAGGCCCUUGAGAGGGAGCACAGCGCUGCUGACACCUGGAUUUCAGAGGUCUGGCUUGCAGAAUUGUGAGAGAAUAAAUUCCUGUUUUUAAACCAUCAAGUUUGUGUAAUUUGUUAUAGCC